GGCAGACGGCUCAGUAACGCGUAGUCAACCUAACCUAUGGACGGGAAUAACCUCGGGAAACUGAGUAUAAUGCCCGAUAGAACAUUAUGCCUGGAAUGGUUUAUGUUCCAAAUGAUUUAUCGCCGUAGGAUGGGACUGCGGCCUAUCAGUUUGUUGGUGAGGUAAUGGCCCACCAAGACUAUUACAGGUACGGGCUCUGAGAGGAGUGGCCCGGAGAUGGGUACUGAGACACGGACCCAGGCCCUAUGGGGCGCAGCAGGCGAGAAAACUUUGCAAUGUGCGAAAGCACGACAAGGUUAAUCUGAGUGGUUUCUGCUAAAGGAACCUUUUGUCGGUCCUAGAAACACCGAUGAAUAAGGGGUGGGCAAGUUCUGGUGUCAGCCGCCGCGGUAAAACCAGCACCUCAAGUGGUCAGGAUGAUUAUUGGGCCUAAAGCAUCCGUAGCCGGCUUUGUUAGUUUUCGGUUAAAUCUGUACGCUUAACGUACAGGCUGCCGGGAAUACUGCAGAGCUAGGGAGUGGGAGAGGUAGACGGUACUCGGUAGGAAGGGGUAAAAUCCUUUGAUCUAUUGAUGACCACCUGUGGCGAAGGCGGUCUACCAGAACACGUCCGACGGUGAGGGAUGAAAGCUGGGGGAGCAAACCGGAUUAGAUACCCGGGUAGUCCCAGCUGUAAACUAUGCAAACUCAGUGAUGCAUUGGCUUGUGGCCAAUGCAGUGCUGCAGGAAAGCCGUUAAGUUUGCCGCCUGGGAAGUACGUACGCAAGUAUGAAACUUAAAGGAAUUGGCGGGGGAGCACCACAAGGGGUGAAGCCUGCGGUUCAAUUGGAUU
RNAcentral lists this ribosomal RNA (831 nucleotides) under uncultured marine crenarchaeote. RNAcentral describes it as "bacterial SSU rRNA". It matches the Rfam family "Archaeal small subunit ribosomal RNA", at positions 80 to 912 of the family's 1478-position model. The record is from RNAcentral. Lineage: Archaea; Thermoproteati; Thermoproteota.